Molecule: ribosomal RNA, 513 nt
Filed under: uncultured bacterium
Lineage: Bacteria
Description: partial 16S ribosomal RNA
Rfam family: Bacterial small subunit ribosomal RNA
Source: RNAcentral
GACGAACGCUGGCGGCAUGCCUAAUACAUGCAAGUCGAGCGAACAGAUGAAGUGCUUGCACUUCUGACGUUAGCGGCGAACGGGUGAGUAACACGUAAGGAAUCUACCUAUAAGCGGGGGAUAACAUUCGGAAACGGGUGCUAAUACCGCAUAGUAUCUUCUUCCGCAUGGAAGAAGAUCGAAAGACGGCUCUGCUGUCACUUAUAGAUGACCUUGCGGUGCAUUAGUUAGUUGGUGGGGUAAUGGCCUACCAAGACGAUGAUGCAUAGCCGACCUGAGAGGGUGAUCGGCCACAUUGGGACUGAGACACGGCCCAAACUCCUACGGGAGGCAGCAGUAGGGAAUCUUCCGCAAUGGGCGAAAGCCUGACGGAGCAAUGCCGCGUGAGUGAAGAAGGCCUUCGGGUCGUGAAACUCUGUUAUAAGAGAAGAACAAAUUGUAGAGUAACUGCUACAGUCUUGACGGUAUCUUAUCAGAAAGCCACGGCUAACUACGUGCCAGCCGCCGCAGUAA